Molecule: ribosomal RNA, 493 nt
Filed under: uncultured bacterium
Lineage: Bacteria
Description: partial 16S ribosomal RNA
Rfam family: Bacterial small subunit ribosomal RNA
Source: RNAcentral
AUUGAACGCUGGCGGCAUGCUUUACACAUGCAAGUCGAACGGUAACAGGUUAAGCUGACGAGUGGCGAACGGGUGAGUAAUGCAUCGGAACGUGCCCGGUCGUGGGGGAUAACGCAGCGAAAGCUGCGCUAAUACCGCAUACGAUCUGAGGAUGAAAGCGGGGGACCGUAAGGCCUCGCGCGAUCGGAGCGGCCGAUGUCAGAUUAGGUAGUUGGUGGGGUAAAGGCUCACCAAGCCAACGAUCUGUAGCUGGUCUGAGAGGACGACCAGCCACACUGGGACUGAGACACGGCCCAGACUCCUACGGGAGUCAGCAGUGGGGAAUUUUGGACAAUGGGCGAAAGCCUGAUCCAGCAAUGCCGCGUGCAGGAAGAAGGCCUUCGGGUUGUAAACUGCUUUUGUACGGAGCGAAAAGGUCUCCUCUAAUACAGGGGGCUCAUGACGGUACCGUAAGAAUAAGCACCGGCUAACUACGUGCCAGCAGCCGCCGUAA